RNAcentral lists this long non-coding RNA (617 nucleotides) under Musa acuminata (dwarf banana). Its description in RNAcentral is "long non-coding RNA (MACU_LNC006208)". Lineage: Eukaryota; Viridiplantae; Streptophyta; Magnoliopsida; Zingiberales; Musaceae. The record is from RNAcentral.
CACAAUGGCCAUAACCACAGGCAUAGGUUUCAUCUAUAUAUCAAUUACUAAUCACAUGCAUAUAGGAAAUAUGGAUUUGUGCCCACAAUGGCCAUAACCACAGGCAUAGGUUUCUUCUAUCGCUUAAAGAAAGCGGACUCGAUAGCAUCAAAUUUGCAAAUAGAUGUCCAUGGCAUUAUGAGUAGCCUACUGGAUAUGUUUAUUAAGAUAAGAAAAAAAAAUCACAAUUCAUCUUUAGACUCGAUCGGUGUAAAAGCACUUGGUUGGUAUCAAAUGAUUUGAGUGGGAAAUAGAGAAUACAAAAUCAAACACUUGAUUCUGUAAUGUAAAUCCAGUACUUGGAAUCAUCGAUACUCGAAACCCCAGCAUCGAUGGAUGAUUUGGUCCGCACAUUUUGGAGUUGAAGCAAGCAUCAGCUUUCCUGUCUCGUCGUCAUGGUUUCAGAAUUAGACACUUGAUAUGAAAGAUCGGAGGCUGAGUGAUACCGAGUUGAAUGGUGUUGUUGGGGGAUGGGUUGAAGCAGAUAAACUCGUUUGCCACUGACAGACAAUUAUAGUUCUGCCGAAAGCUGGAAUUGGCUUCUACAGUUUGAAGUUGAGGAAUGAGCUGCAAUGACC